Molecule: long non-coding RNA, 344 nt
Organism: Aedes aegypti (yellow fever mosquito)
Lineage: Eukaryota; Metazoa; Arthropoda; Insecta; Diptera; Culicidae
Exons: 2
Source: RefSeq, a predicted model, not a curated record
AUCAAAACCUCCUAACAUUGAAGAAAUCGUGCUGAACAGGAACACGCAUCGACGUACAAGGAUACAACAGAAUCUUAUUAAACCCGUUUCAUUUACUAAUAAUACCACUAUUUACUAAUUUACUAAUUAUAUCAUUCUCUUCUCGUCAACAAGCGUCAUUUCAGGAUUAGGGUUUUCAUUAUAGCAUUGAAUAUACUAUAAAAAUGCCGUCAGACUAAAAAAACGUGUGACUAAUCGCUAUCUCUAUUUAUAGGUACCCGUAACCGUGAAUAGGAAUAGUAACUCAUGAGAAAAAUACUAGGAUAUAAAUCCUAGUAAUGACAUAUUAUCGGCGCGGUAAAAAA